CAUUAAGAAGCUAUGUAUCAGCACUAGCCUUUUAAGCUAGAGAAAGAGGAUCCCUACCUCCUCCUUAAUGA
This 71-nucleotide transfer RNA is filed under the name Cathartes aura (turkey vulture). RNAcentral describes it as "tRNA-Lys". Lineage: Eukaryota; Metazoa; Chordata; Aves; Accipitriformes; Cathartidae. The record is from RNAcentral.